Molecule: ribosomal RNA, 2147 nt
Filed under: human oral metagenome
Description: bacterial LSU rRNA
Rfam family: Bacterial large subunit ribosomal RNA
Source: RNAcentral
UUAAGCUACUAAGAGCGUAGGGGGAAUGCCUUGGCACCAAGAGCCGAUGAAGGACGUGAUAAGCUGCGAAAAGCUACGGGGAGGAGCACAUAUCCAAAGAGCCGUAGAUAUCCGAAUGAGGGAACUCAAUCUAGGUAAAUGCUAGAUUAUCAUCACAUGAGUAAAGUAGUGUGAUAGAGGGGAACAUGGGGAACUGAAACAUCUUAGUACCCAUAGGAAGAGAAAAUAAAAAUGAUUCCGUAAGUAGUGGCGAGCGAAAGCGGAAAAGCCCAAACCUGAGUGAGCAAUCACUAACAGGGGUUAGGACAUGCAACAAAUUCCAAGAAAGAGUGUAGUAGAAGCGUUUUGGGAAAGCACACCAAAGAGAGUGAAAGUCUCGUAUACGAAACACGAAAGAAGGAAGAGUAUGAUCCAGAGUAAGACAGGACACGAGAAAUCCUGUGUGAAUGAGCGGGGACCAUCCCGUAAGGCUAAAUACUCCCGAGAGACCGAUAGUGGACAAGUACCGUGAGGGAAAUGAAAUAGAACCUGAAACCCUAUGCUUACAAGCAGAUAGAGCACGUUAAAGUGUGAUAUCGUACUUUUUGCAGAACGGUCCGGCGAGUUACUGUAUAUGGCAAGGAGAAGAGUUUAAGACUAAUAUCCGAAGCGAAAGCGAGUCUGAAUAGGGCGAAGUUAAGUCAUAUGUAGUAGACCCGAAACCGAGUGACCUAUCCAUGUCCAGGAUGAAGCUAGAGUGAAAUCUAGUGGAGGUCCGCACCAGUAGACGUUGAAAAGUCUUUGGAUGAGGUGUGGAUAGCGGAGAAAUUCUAAUCGAACUCGGAUAUAGCUGGUUCUCCUCGAAAUAGCUUUAGGGCUAGCCUUGAACAAAAACCGUAUGGGGGUAGAGCACUGAAUGAGCUAGGGGCCAAACAAAGGUUACCAAACUUUAUCAAACUGCGAAUACCAUAAGGGAAGUUCAGGAGUCAGACUACGGGAGCUAAGUUCCGUGGUCAAAAGGGAAAGAGCCCAGACCGUCAAUUAAGGUCCCAAAGAUAUAACUAAGUGGAAAACGAUGUGAUUUUGCGCAGACAACCAGGAUGUUGGCUUAGAAGCAGCCAUUCAUUUAAAGAGUGCGUAAUAGCUCACUGGUCGAGUGAAGUUGCGCGGAAAAUUACCGGGGCUAAGUUAUACACCGAAAUUGCGGAUUCAUUAAGAAAUUAAUGAGUGGUAGAGGAGCGUUCUAUACAGGAUGAAGUAUGAUCGAGAGGACAUAUGGACAGUAUAGAAGAGAGAAUGCCGGAAUGAGUAGCGAGAGCAAAGUGAGAAUCUUUGCCGUCGAAAAUCUAAGGUUUCCUGAGGAAGGUUCGUCCGCCCAGGGUAAGUCGGGACCUAAGGUGAGGCCGAAGGGCGUAGCCGAUGGACAGCAGGUUAAGAUUCCUGCACCAGUAUACAUGUAUAAUGCAUAAGAGGACACAUUUGAAGAAGAUGAGCGAGGAAGAGGAAAAACUCGUAUGGCAACAUAUAGUGAAAUAAAGUAACGAAUCAUCAAGAGGCAAGUGGCGAGAAAAGUCUUAUGUAGUUGUGUAGACUGCCCGUACCGCAAACCGACACAGGUAGAUGAGGAGAGGAUCCUAAGACGAGCGGGAGAAGCAUUGUUAAGGAACUCGGCAAAUUGACCCCGUAACUUAGGGAUAAGGGGUGCUGGUGUAAAAACCAGUCGCAGUAAAUAGGCCCAAGCAACUGUUUAACAAAAACACAGGUUUCUGCUAAAUCGCAAGAUGAAGUAUAGGAGCUGACUCCUGCCCAGUGCUGGAAGGUUAAGGGGAAAGGUUAGGAAUAAUUCAUUAUAUCCGAAGCUUUGAACUCAAGCCCCAGUGAACGGCGGCCGUAACUAUAACGGUCCUAAGGUAGCGAAAUUCCUUGUCAGGUAAGUUCUGACCCGCACGAAAGGUGUAAUGAUUUGGGCACUGUCUCAACAAUGUACCCGGCGAAAUUGUAGUACUAGUGAAGAUGCUAGUUACCUGCGACAAGACGGAAAGACCCCAUGGAGCUUUACUAUAGCCUGAUAUUGGGCUUUGGUAUCUUAUGUACAGGAUAGGUGGGAGACGAAGAGAUUAAGACGCUAGUCUUAAAGGAGUCACCCUUGGAAUACCACCCUUAAGAUA